UGGGGAAUUUUGGACAAUGGGCGAAAGCCUGAUCCAGCAAUGCCGCGUGUGUGAAGAAGGCCUUCGGGUUGUAAAGCACUUUUGUCCGGAAAGAAAUCCUUGGCUCUAAUACAGUCGGGGGAUGACGGUACCGGAAGAAUAAGCACCGGCUAACUACGUGCCAGCAGCCGCGGUAAUACGUAGGGUGCAAGCGUUAAUCGGAAUUACUGGGCGUAAAGCGUGCGCAGGCGGUUUGCUAAGACCGAUGUGAAAUCCCCGGGCUCAACCUGGGAACUGCAUUGGUGACUGGCGGGCUAGAGUAUGGCAGAGGGGGGUAGAAUUCCACGUGUAGCAGUGAAAUGCGUAGAGAUGUGGAGGAAUACCGAUGGCGAAGGCAGCCCCCUGGGCCAAUACUGACGCUCAUGCACGAAAGCGUGGGGAGCAAACAGGAUUAGAUACCCUGGUAGUCCACGCCCUAAACGAUGUCAACUAGUUGUUGGGGAUUCAUUUCCUUAGUAACGUAGCUAACGCGUGAAGUUGACCGCCUGGGGAGUACGGUCGCAAGAUUAAAACUUAAAUGAAUUG
Molecule: ribosomal RNA, 564 nt
Filed under: uncultured bacterium
Lineage: Bacteria
Description: partial 16S ribosomal RNA
Rfam family: Bacterial small subunit ribosomal RNA
Source: RNAcentral